AGGGGAAAUAGCAUAAAUAUAAUGUGCUUCCUUUACACGGAAGAGAUAGCAAGUAGCUUUUCUCCUA
Molecule: transfer RNA, 67 nt
Filed under: Tridacna maxima
Lineage: Eukaryota; Metazoa; Mollusca; Bivalvia; Cardiida; Cardiidae
Description: tRNA-Val
Source: RNAcentral